ACGCUGGCGGCGUGCCUAAUACAUGCAAGUAGAACGCUGAAGGAGGAGCUUGCUUCUCCGGAUGAGUUGCGAACGGGUGAGUAACGCGUAGGUAACCUGCCUGGUAGCGGGGGAUAACUAUUGGAAACGAUAGCUAAUACCGCAUAACAGUAGAUGUUGCAUGACAUUUGCUUAAAAGGUGCAAUUGCAUCACUACCAGAUGGACCUGCGUUGUAUUAGCUAGUUGGUGGGGUAACGGCUCACCAAGGCGACGAUACAUAGCCGACCUGAGAGGGUGAUCGGCCACACUGGGACUGAGACACGGCCCAGACUCCUACGGGAGGCAGCAGUAGGGAAUCUUCGGCAAUGGACGGAAGUCUGACCGAGCAACGCCGCGUGAGUGAACAAGGUUUUCGGAUCGUAAAGCUCUGUUGUAAGAGAAGAACAGGUGUGAGAGUGGAAAGUUCACACUGUGACGGUAUCUUACCAGAAAGGGACGGCUAACUACGUGCCAGCAGCCGCGGUAAUACGUAGGUCCCGAGCGUUGUCCGGAUUUAUUGGGCGUAAAGCGAGCGCAGGCGGUUAGAUAAGUCUGAAGUUAAAGGCUGUGGCUUAACCAUAGUACGCUUUGGAAACUGUUUAACUUGAGUGCAAGAGGGGAGAGUGGAAUUCCAUGUGUAGCGGUGAAAUGCGUAGAUAUAUGGAGGAACACCGGUGGCGAAAGCGGCUCUCUGGCUUGUAACUGACGCUGAGGCUCGAAAGCGUGGGGAGCAAACAGGAUUAGAUACCCUGGUAGUCCACGCCGUAAACGAUGAGUGCUAGGUGUUAGACCCUUUCCGGGGUUUAGUGCCGCAGCUAACGCAUUAAGCACUCCGCCUGGGGAGUACGACCGCAAGGUUGAAACUCAAAGGAAUUGA
This 896-nucleotide ribosomal RNA is filed under the name uncultured bacterium. Its description in RNAcentral is "bacterial SSU rRNA". It matches the Rfam family "Bacterial small subunit ribosomal RNA", at positions 33 to 913 of the family's 1533-position model. The record is from RNAcentral.